Molecule: ribosomal RNA, 459 nt
Filed under: uncultured bacterium
Lineage: Bacteria
Description: partial 16S ribosomal RNA
Rfam family: Bacterial small subunit ribosomal RNA
Source: RNAcentral
CCUACGGUGUGCAGCAGUGAGGAAUAUUGGUCAAUGGGAGAGAUCCUGAACCAGCCAAGCCGCGUGAGGGAAGACGGCCCUAUGGGUUGUAAACCUCUUUUGUCGGAGAACAAAACCCGGGACGUGUCCCGGACUGCGUGUAUCCGAAGAAAAAGCAUCGGCUAACUCCGUGCCAGCAGCCGCGGUAAUACGGAGGAUGCGAGCGUUAUCCGGUUUUAUUGGGUUUAAAGGGUGCGUAGGCGGUCCGUUAAGUCAGCGGUAAAAUUGCGGGGCUCAACCCCGUCGAGCCGUUGAAACUGGCAGACUUGAGUUGGCGAGAAGUACGCGGAAUGCGCGGUGUAGCGGUGAAAUGCUUAGAUAUCACGAAGAAAUCCGAUUGCGAAGGCAGCUCACUGGACUGCAACUGACACUGAUGCUCGAAAGUGUGGGUAUCAAACAGGAUUAGAUACCCUUGUAGUC